RNAcentral lists this ribosomal RNA (406 nucleotides) under uncultured bacterium. RNAcentral's name for it is "bacterial SSU rRNA". It matches the Rfam family "Bacterial small subunit ribosomal RNA", at positions 355 to 779 of the family's 1533-position model. The record is from RNAcentral.
UCGGGAAUUUUGGGCAAUGGGCGAAAGCCUGACCCAGCAACGCCGCGUGAAGGAUGAAGUAUUUCGGUAUGUAAACUUCGUAAGAAUAGGAAGAAUAAAUGACGGUACUAUUUGUAAGGUCCGGCUAACUACGUGCCAGCAGCCGCGGUAAUACGUAGGGACCAAGCGUUGUUCGGAUUUACUGGGCGUAAAGGGCGCGUAGGCGGCAAUUCAAGUCAGCUGUGAAAUCUCCGGGCUUAACUCGGAACGGUCAGCUGAUACUGCUUUGCUAGAGUGCAGAAGGGGCAAUCGGAAUUCUUGGUGUAGCGGUGAAAUGCGUAGAUAUCAAGAGGAACACCUGAGGUGAAGACGGUUGCUGGGCUGACACUGACGCUGAGGCGCGAAAGCCAGGGGAGCAAACGGGAUU